GUUUUAGUUCAUUAAUGGACCAAAUUCUGUUCCUGUUCAGCUAACUAAGAAUUUUGUCAUUAGCUUAAAAGGAGCAGGAUUUAGUGUUGUGCAAGCUGUACAAUAAUUCUGGAGGCUUGUGUGUCGCGGGGGUGGGCAGAGGGAGAGGGAGGCUUUUUGCAAGACAAAAAUGUGGUAGCUUUAAAAAUAUCAGGGCAAAAAAUACAGUACUUGACUGUACUUGACUUUACUCUUCAGAUUCUCCAAAGAGGCAGACUGGUUCUUUCAGCAGUCACCCCAAUACAGACAGAUAUACCUUUCUUGUCAUCUUCAGAAGGACCACAACAAGAAUCUGCAGUCCAGGGGACUGACCUGCUCUGAGGAAUGACUGUUCUCUUACUCCUGGACUCCAAGCUCCAGACAAGUGCCAGGAAUGUGUGUACUGGUGGCGUCACAAGACAAAAAGCGAAGGACAAAUGAGUAAGUCACUUUUUUUGAAAAGGUGAUUAAAAUCUGAGCAUGUCGCUUCUUUGCACAGGUCAGCUGACAUGAAUGGAUU
Molecule: long non-coding RNA, 538 nt
Filed under: Struthio camelus australis
Lineage: Eukaryota; Metazoa; Chordata; Aves; Struthioniformes; Struthionidae
Description: lncRNA (ENSSCUG00000007576.1)
Source: RNAcentral